This is a long non-coding RNA of Rhipicephalus microplus (southern cattle tick), 397 nucleotides long. RefSeq lists it as uncharacterized. Lineage: Eukaryota; Metazoa; Arthropoda; Arachnida; Ixodida; Ixodidae. The record is from RefSeq and is a predicted model, not a curated record.
UCUGACAACCACUUAUGCAACGCCAAAAGGAACCUUGCCCUGCAAGUUAUCCACGUGAACACGAGAAGUCAUUUCAAGCAGAACCAUCUGCUGCGACAUCGGAAGCACAGCCACUGUUACACUUGACCUCUACAAAUAUGGUGUGUCCUGAGAGAUGGUGAAGUAUCUAUUUCAAGCAAUUAUUUACUCUGAUACAGAGAUUUACAAAUCUCUGACAGACGUGCUCAACCAAAGACACUGCCCAAAAGUACAACAAGAACAUCAAGGAUUAUUUGAGCUUGACUACGAGAUGCAACUUGCCUACUUCCUCUGCAGAACAGUGCAACGGGUUAUAGAUGCACCACAUGCUUGCUGCCUGUAAAGACUGAUGGUUCAAUAAAAGCAUCAAACCAGUCUA